CCCUUAGACGUUCUGGGCCGCACGCGCGCUACACUGACCAGUGCAACAAGCAUCCGUCCUUGGCCGACAGGUCCGGGCAAUCUUUGAACGCUGGUCGUGAUGGGGAUAGACUUUUGCAAUUUUUGGUCUUCAACGAGGAAUUCCUAGUAAACGCAAGUCAUCAACUUGCAUUGAUUACGUCCCUGCCCUUUGUACACACCGCCCGUCGCACCUACCGAUUGAAUGGUCCGGUGAAGCCUCCGGAUUGGCGCGCACCUCGGUGCCGCCGAGAAGUUGGCUAAACCUUACCAUUUAGAGGAAGGUGAAGUCGUAACA
Molecule: ribosomal RNA, 315 nt
Filed under: uncultured eukaryote
Lineage: Eukaryota
Description: partial 18S ribosomal RNA
Rfam family: Eukaryotic small subunit ribosomal RNA
Source: RNAcentral